RNAcentral lists this long non-coding RNA (608 nucleotides) under Marmota monax (woodchuck). Lineage: Eukaryota; Metazoa; Chordata; Mammalia; Rodentia; Sciuridae. The record is from RNAcentral.
CAAAGACCAUCUGCUGCCAAUAUUUACUUAACCAAGUUGAGACUUCUAAGGCUACCUGGAGGUUGGUGGUGGAUGUGGAGGUAAACGGGAUUCCUGGCUCCUUGACUGCCCAUCCUAUUGGCCAAGUUCAGAGGGUAGUGCUACAAAUACAGCCAAGUGUCCUCAGCUCCCAUUUUGAGUUUUGCCGAUCAUCAAACUUCCCUAGCCAAGCCAUUUUUUACCUCGUUCUUCUCUCCCCCGUGUAAGGAAAAUAUUUCUGGCAAGGCCAUUUAUCUGACUCCCCUUGCUUUUCCUGGGUGAGAAACCUAGCAGGAAGGUCCACUGCAGACAUCAGAAAAGCUCACAGCAGCUUAACUCAAAGCACCCUGCUCUGCUGUCCUCUUCCCUGUGACAAAAAGCUCCACUCUUCCUUUUCUGCCUCAGACAUGCAACAGGCAAAGGAAGGUGGGAGUUAAGUAUGGGCAUAUAGGGCCCAAAACAGCAACUGCAUGCUCACUGGAGUGGUGCAGCUGACACCUCAAUGGUGUUCAGCACCAAGUCUUUGCUCACUGCUGUUUUCCCACUAGAAGAUAGUGGUGGAUGUCAGGGGUGGUGUCCUACAGUUUGAC